UGGGGAAUAUUGCACAAUGGGCGAAAGCCUGAUGCAGCGACGCCGCGUGAGGGAUGACGGCCUUCGGGUUGUAAACCUCUUUCAGUAGGGACGAAGCGCAAGUGACGGUACCUGCAGAAGAAGCACCGGCUAACUACGUGCCAGCAGCCGCGGUAAUACGUAGGGUGCGAGCGUUGUCCGGAAUUACUGGGCGUAAAGAGCUCGUAGGCGGUUUGUCACGUCGUCUGUGAAAUCCUAGGGGUUCACCCUGGACGUGCAGGCGAUACGGGCUGACUUGAGUACUACAGGGGAGACUGGAAUUUCUGGUGUAGCGGUGGAAUGCACAGAUAUCAGGAAGAACACCGAUGGCGAAGGCAGGUCUCUGGGUAGUAACUGACGCUGAGGAGCGAAAGCAUGGGUAGCGAACAGG
Molecule: ribosomal RNA, 409 nt
Filed under: bacterium
Lineage: Bacteria
Description: partial 16S ribosomal RNA
Rfam family: Bacterial small subunit ribosomal RNA
Source: RNAcentral